Cynocephalus volans (Philippine flying lemur) is the source of this 108-nucleotide small nuclear RNA. Lineage: Eukaryota; Metazoa; Chordata; Mammalia; Dermoptera; Cynocephalidae. The record is from RefSeq and is a predicted model, not a curated record.
AUGCUAGCUUUGGCAGCACGCAUACUAAAAUUGGAAUAAUACAGAAAAGAAUAGCAUGGCCCCUGCACAAGGAUGACAAUGCAAAUUUGUGAGAUGUUCCAUAUUUUU